AAGUUUGAUCCUGGCUCAGGAUGAACGCUAGCGGCAGGCCUAAUACAUGCAAGACGAACGGUAAGAGGUGUAGCAAUACACUUCCUAGAGUGUCGUAAGGGUGCGUAACAAGUAUGCAAUCUGCCCUCAACUGGAGCAUAGCUCCCCGAAAGGGGAAUUAACACUCCAUAAUAUGUAUGAGUCGGCAUCGACUAAGCAUUAAAACUCCGGUGGUUGAGGAUGAGCAUGCUUCUGAUUAGUUAGUUGGUGGUGUAACGGACCACCAAGACGAUGAUCAGUAGGGGAACUGAGAGGUUGGAUCCCCACCACUGGCACUGAGAUACGGGCCAGACUCCUACGGGAGGGCAGCAGUAGGGAGUAUUGGUCAAUGGAUGCAAGUCUGAACCAGCCAUGCCGCGUGCAGGAAGAAGGCCUUCUGGGUUGUAACUGCUUUUGUCCGGGGGAGUAAAGAAGGCCAUGCGUGGUUAAUUGAAGGUACCCGGCGAA
This 486-nucleotide ribosomal RNA is filed under the name uncultured Bacteroidota bacterium. RNAcentral describes it as "bacterial SSU rRNA". It matches the Rfam family "Bacterial small subunit ribosomal RNA", at positions 9 to 486 of the family's 1533-position model. The record is from RNAcentral. Lineage: Bacteria; Pseudomonadati; Bacteroidota.